Molecule: ribosomal RNA, 253 nt
Filed under: uncultured bacterium
Lineage: Bacteria
Description: partial 16S ribosomal RNA
Rfam family: Bacterial small subunit ribosomal RNA
Source: RNAcentral
UACGAAGGGGGCUAGCGUUGCUCGGAAUCACUGGGCGUAAAGCGCACGUAGGCGGCUUUCUAAGUCAGGGGUGAAAUCCUGGAGCUCAACUCCAGAACUGCCUUUGAUACUGGGAAGCUCGAGUCCGGAAGAGGUGAGUGGAACUGCGAGUGUAGAGGUGAAAUUCGUAGAUAUUCGCAAGAACACCAGUGGCGAAGGCGGCUCACUCGUCCGGUACUGACGCUGAGGUGCGAAAGCGUGGGGAGCAAACAGG